This 407-nucleotide ribosomal RNA is filed under the name uncultured bacterium. RNAcentral's name for it is "partial 16S ribosomal RNA". It matches the Rfam family "Bacterial small subunit ribosomal RNA", at positions 29 to 526 of the family's 1533-position model. The record is from RNAcentral.
AGUGAACGCUGGCGGCGUGCAUAAUACAUGCAAGUCGAACGCAGUGGCGAACGGGUGAGUAAUGUAUAGCUCAUCUGCGCUACACUAGAGGACAACAGCUGGAAAUGACUGCUAAUACUCUAUAGUGUAGGAUGAGGCUAUAUUGUAUCAGCUAGUUGGUGAGGUAAUGGCUCACCAAGGCUAUGACGCAUAACUGGUCUGAUAGGAUGAUCAGUCACACUGGAACGGAGACACGGUCCAGACUACUACGGGAGGCAGCAGUAGUGAAUAUUGCUGAAGGGGGGAAACCCUGAAGCAGCAACGCCGCGGGGAGGUUGACACUUUCGGGGCGUAAACGCCUUUUGGUAGGGACGCGGUACCUAACGAGUAAGCACCGGCUAACUCCGUGCCAGCAGCCGCGGUAAUUC